GCGGGUCAACGUUAUCUCGCCCGAGUGCGCCGGACUCAAAAUCCGGUUCCGAAAGGAGUGUCGGUUCGAUUCCGACUACCCGCACCA
Molecule: transfer RNA, 87 nt
Filed under: Kaistia dalseonensis
Lineage: Bacteria; Pseudomonadati; Pseudomonadota; Alphaproteobacteria; Hyphomicrobiales; Kaistiaceae
Description: tRNA-Leu
Rfam family: tRNA
About the family: Transfer RNA (tRNA) molecules are approximately 80 nucleotides in length. Their secondary structure includes four short double-helical elements and three loops (D, anti-codon, and T loops). Further hydrogen bonds mediate the characteristic L-shaped molecular structure. tRNAs have two regions of fundamental functional importance: the anti-codon, which is responsible for specific mRNA codon recognition, and the 3' end, to which the tRNAs corresponding amino acid is attached (by aminoacyl-tRNA synthetases). tRNAs cope with the degeneracy of the genetic code in two manners: having more than one tRNA (with a specific anti-codon) for a particular amino acid; and 'wobble' base-pairing, i.e. permitting non-standard base-pairing at the 3rd anti-codon position.
Source: RNAcentral